GAUGAACGCUGGCGGCGUGCCUAAUACAUGCAAGUCGAGCGAACGGACGAGAAGCUUGCUUCUCUGAUGUUAGCGGCGGACGGGUGAGUAACACGUGGAUAACCUACCUAUAAGACUGGGAUAACUUCGGGAAACCGGAGCUAAUACCGGAUAAUAUUUUGAACCGCAUGGUUCAAAAGUGAAAGACGGUCUUGCUGUCACUUAUAGAUGGAUCCGCGCUGCAUUAGCUAGUUGGUAAGGUAACGGCUUACCAAGGCAACGAUGCAUAGCCGACCUGAGAGGGUGAUCGGCCACACUGGAGCUGAGACACGGUCCAGACUCCUACGGGAGGCAGCAGUAGGGAAUCUUCCGCAAUGGGCGAAAGCCUGACGGAGCAACGCCGCGUGAGUGAUGAAGGUCUUCGGAUCGUAAAACUCUGUUAUUAGGGAAGAACAUAUGUGUAAGUAACUGUGCACAUCUUGACGGUACCUAAUCAGAAAGCCACGGCUAACUACGUGCCAGCAGCCGCGGUAAUACGUAGGUGGCAAGCGUUAUCCGGAAUUAUUGGGCGUAAAGCGCGCGUAGGCGGUUUUUUAAGUCUGAUGUGAAAGCCCACGGCUCAACCGUGGAGGGUCAUUGGAAACUGGAAAACUUGAGUGCAGAAGAGGAAAGUGGAAUUCCAUGUGUAGCGGUGAAAUGCGCAGAGAUAUGGAGGAACACCAGUGGCGAAGGCGACUUUCUGGUCUGUAACUGACGCUGAUGUGCGAAAGCGUGGGGAUCGAACAGGAUUAGAUACCCUGGUAGUCCACGCCGUAAACGAUGAGUGCUAAGUGUUAGGGGGUUUCCGCCCCUUAGUGCUGCAGCUAACGCAUUAAGCACUCCGCCUGGGGAGUACGACCGCAAGGUUGAAACUCAAAGGAAUUGACGGGGACCCGCACAAGCGGUGGAGCAUGUGGUUUAAUUCGAAGCAACGCGAAGAACCUUACCAAAUCUUGACAUCCUUUGACAACUCUAGAGAUAGAGCUUUCCCCUUCGGGGGACAAAGUGACAGGUGGUGCAUGGUUGUCGUCAGCUCGUGUCGUGAGAUGUUGGGUUAAGUCCCGCAACGAGCGCAACCCUUAAGCUUAGUUGCCAUCAUUAAGUUGGGCACUCUAAGUUGACUGCCGGUGACAAACCGGAGGAAGGUGGGGAUGACGUCAAAUCAUCAUGCCCCUUAUGAUUUGGGCUACACACGUGCUACAAUGGACAAUACAAAGGGCAGCGAAACCGCGAGGUCAAGCAAAUCCCAUAAAGUUGUUCUCAGUUCGGAUUGUAGUCUGCAACUCGACUACAUGAAGCUGGAAUCGCUAGUAAUCGUAGAUCAGCAUGCUACGGUGAAUACGUUCCCGGGUCU
Molecule: ribosomal RNA, 1372 nt
Filed under: uncultured bacterium
Lineage: Bacteria
Description: bacterial SSU rRNA
Rfam family: Bacterial small subunit ribosomal RNA
Source: RNAcentral